UCCACUUGGAGAGCUCCCGCGGU
This 23-nucleotide microRNA is filed under the name Human betaherpesvirus 5. Its description in RNAcentral is "hcmv-miR-US25-2-3p". The record is from RNAcentral. Lineage: Duplodnaviria; Heunggongvirae; Peploviricota; Herviviricetes; Herpesvirales; Orthoherpesviridae.